CGCAAUGGGCGAAAGCCUGACGGAGCAACGCCGCGUGAGGGACGAAGGCCUCUGGGCUGUAAACCUCUUUUCCCAAGGAAGAAGAUAUGACGGUACUUGAGGAAUAAGCCACGGCUAAUUCCGUGCCAGCAGCCGCGGUAAUACGGGAGUGGCAAGCGUUAUCCGGAAUUAUUGGGCGUAAAGCGUCCGCAGGCGGCUUUUCAAGUCUGCUGUUAAAGCGUGGAGCUUAACUCCAUCAUGGCGGUGGAAACUGAAAGGCUUGAGUAUGGUAGGGGCAGAGAGAAUUCCCGGUGUAGCGGUGAAAUGCGUAGAUAUCGGGAAGAACACCAGUGGCGAAGGCGCCCUGCUGGGCCAUUACUGACGCUCAUGGACGAAAGCCAGGGGAGCGAAAGGGAUUAGAUACCCCUGUAGUCCUGGCCGU
This 421-nucleotide ribosomal RNA is filed under the name uncultured bacterium. RNAcentral describes it as "bacterial SSU rRNA". It matches the Rfam family "Bacterial small subunit ribosomal RNA", at positions 367 to 803 of the family's 1533-position model. The record is from RNAcentral.